CAGCAGCCGCGGUAAUACGUAGGGGGCGAGCGUUGUCCGAAGUUACUGGGCGUAAAGAGCGCGUAGGCGGGUCUUUAAGUGAGGGGUGAAAGGUUCAGGGCUCAACCCGGACACUGCCUUUCAUACUGGAGACCUUGAGUGUGGGAGAGGCGAGUGGAAUGGUCGGUGUAGCGGUGAAAUGCGUAGAUAUCGAUCGGAACACCCAUGGCGAAGGCAGCUCGCUGGCCUAUAACUGACGCUGAGGCGCGAAAGCGUGAGGAGCAAACAGGAUUAGAUACCCCUGUAGUCCCUGUCUCUUAUA
RNAcentral lists this ribosomal RNA (301 nucleotides) under uncultured bacterium. RNAcentral's name for it is "partial 16S ribosomal RNA". It matches the Rfam family "Bacterial small subunit ribosomal RNA", at positions 509 to 808 of the family's 1533-position model. The record is from RNAcentral.